ACUCCUACGGGAGGCAGCAGUGGGGAAUAUUGCACAAUGGGGGAAACCCUGAUGCAGCCAUGCCGCGUGUGUGAAGAAGGCCUUCGGUUGUAAAGCACUUUCAGUAGGGAGGAAGGUAGUGUAGUUAACACCUGCAUUAUUUGACGUUACCUACAGAAGAAGCACCGGCUAACUCCGUGCCAGCAGCCGCGGUAAUACGGAGGGUGCGAGCGUUAAUCGGAAUUACUGGGCGUAAAGCGCAUGCAGGCGGCCUGUUAAGUCAGAUGUGAAAGCCCGGGGCUUAACCGUCGGAAUUGCAUUUGAAACUGGCAGGCUAGAGUCUUGUAGAGGGGUUAGAAUUUCAGGUGUAGCGGUGAAAUGCGUAGAGAUCUGAAGGAAUACCAGUGGCGAAGGCGGCCCCUGGACAAAGACUGACGCUCAGAUGCGAAAGCGUGGGAGCAAACGAGGAUUAGAUACCCCUGGUAGACUGUCA
RNAcentral lists this ribosomal RNA (472 nucleotides) under uncultured bacterium. Its description in RNAcentral is "bacterial SSU rRNA". It matches the Rfam family "Bacterial small subunit ribosomal RNA", at positions 335 to 802 of the family's 1533-position model. The record is from RNAcentral.